Molecule: ribosomal RNA, 497 nt
Filed under: uncultured bacterium
Lineage: Bacteria
Description: partial 16S ribosomal RNA
Rfam family: Bacterial small subunit ribosomal RNA
Source: RNAcentral
GAUGAACGCUGGCGGCGUGCCUAAUACAUGCAAGUCGAGCGAACGGACGAGAAGCUUGCUUCUCUGAUGUUAGCGGCGGACGGGUGAGUAACACGUGGAUAACCUACCUAUAAGACUGGGAUAACUUCGGGAAACCGGAGCUAAUACCGGAUGAUAUUUUGAACCGCAUGGUUCAAAAGUGAAAGACGGUCUUGCUGUCACUUAUAGAUGGAUCCGCGCUGCAUUAGCUAGUUGGUAAGGUAACGGCUUACCAAGGCAACGAUGCAUAGCCGACCUGAGAGGGUGAUCGGCCACACUGGAACUGAGACACGGUCCAGACUCCUACGGGAGGCAGCAGUAGGGAAUCUUCCGCAAUGGGCGAAAGCCUGACGGAGCAACGCCGCGUGAGUGAUGAAGGUCUUCGGAUCGUAAAACUCUGUUAUUAGGGAAGAACAUAUGUGUAAGUAACAGUGCACAUCUUGACGGUACCUAAUCAGAAAGCCACGGCUAACUCCGUG